GAUGAACGCUAGCGACAGGCUUAACACAUGCAAGUCGAGGGGCAGCAAGAAUUGUAGCAAUACAAUUUGUUGGCGACCGGCGCACGGGUGAGUAACGCGUAUGCAACCUACCUAUCAGAGGGGGAUAGCCCGGUGAAAGCCGGAUUAAUACCGCAUAAAACAGGGGUCCCGCAUGGGAAUAUUUGUUAAAGAUUAAUUGCUGAUAGAUGGGUAUGCGUUCCAUUAGAUUGUUGGUGGGGUAACGGCCUACCAAGUCUUCGAUGGAUAGGGGUUCUGAGAGGAAGGUCCCCCACACUGGUACUGAGACACGGACCAGACUCCUACGGGAGGCAGCAGUGAGGAAUAUUGGUCAAUGGGCGAGAGCCUGAACCAGCCAAGUAGCGUGAAGGAUGACUGCCCUAUGGGUUGUAAACUUCUUUUAUAUGGGAAUAAAUGACAUUACGUGUAGUGUUUUGUAUGUACCAUUAUGAAUAAGCAUCGGCUAACUCCGUGCCAGCCGCCGCCGUAAGAC
RNAcentral lists this ribosomal RNA (511 nucleotides) under uncultured bacterium. Its description in RNAcentral is "bacterial SSU rRNA". It matches the Rfam family "Bacterial small subunit ribosomal RNA", at positions 28 to 526 of the family's 1533-position model. The record is from RNAcentral.